Molecule: long non-coding RNA, 7136 nt
Organism: Columba livia (rock pigeon)
Lineage: Eukaryota; Metazoa; Chordata; Aves; Columbiformes; Columbidae
Exons: 8
Source: RefSeq, a predicted model, not a curated record
CACACCCCUCCUCCUUGCUUUGAAAAAGCCUCCGGGAGCCCACCAGGCGCUGGGAGGUGGACGUGUUUGUGAGGCAGGUGAGCACCACCCACACGGUGCUGCAGCAGCGACUGGGGCUGCUCGUGCAGCAGGGCUCAGAGGUUCUGUCACUCCUUGCUGUUAGACCUCUCACUUGUUGCUGGUGACACAGACUGGGGUGUGGCAGGGUGUCUCACAGUGGCAGAGAGUGGGAAGGGCCUACAUCUGCGAGAAUGUAUCAACUCUAAUGCCACCAUUACCAAAUUUUAGACGGCAUGGGCUCAUUCCCGUACCAGAUGUUGUUAAUACCUGAUUCAUGCAAAUGGAACUGGGUUUGUGGCAGCCUGCUGCCUGAUCUGACCCCGAGUAGGAAUGGAGUUUGGUGGGCACAAUUAGAAAGAGGGGUCUGAACACCACUGUCUUCAAGGUUGAAAUUUGAAAUGCCAACCCUGCAUUCUCAGAGGCCCAGAUACAGUCUGGUGUCACCUUACAUGGAGCUGCUCUCUGUUCCUUUGAGGAUCGUGGACUAUUUUGCAAGCUGCGUAAUCAGAACUAGUUGCUCUGGAAAAUCCUGGAUGUGUCUCUAGACUUUGUCAGAGAAAGCCAGGACAAAAACAUUGGCCUGGAAUACGUCACUAAACAGAAUAAAAAUUAAUGUCUGCUAGGCAUAGAAUGGUUGUUACCAAGAAAAUAUCCAGUGAUUCUUGUUGACCUCCAGGACACCUGACACAGAAACUUCUACAUUAGUGACAAUGAAGUGCUGCAGUUGAAGGCAUUACCUUCGUGAUAGUGAAGGGGAAAAGAUGGAGUCAACACCUGCUGAAGCACAGCGUGGAGCUCACCUGAAGACCCUGUGAUUAUUAGUUACACCCACAGAGCAAAGGCACGACAAAUAUUUCAACCUUGUGAAACCUUCGUGUAUUUCCUAAGCCUCACUGAAAAUAAACCUAGCCCUCAGCUGUGCAGCUGGGGAAGUGGUGGUUGUAUAGUAUACUUCCACGGAGCCAUCCCACCAAGCCUGGAUGUGCAGGAACAGAGCGAGGUGUGCCACUGAAACAACCCCUCUUCAUGCUGCAUCAGCCACAUCAAGAUUUCUAGAUAGCUCAGUUCUGGCCUAUGGAAAAAGAACACAAAAGGAAAAGGAUACAACUGAUUAUGAAUGAAGGUACAUGCUGAAGUGGCACAGGUAAAUUAUGGCGGAGUAAGUAUCCAGCACUGUCAGAAGAGGGCAGCUUCUUAGAGGCCCUUAAAAUCUCUGAGACAUUGCCUUUAAGGGCAGCAGUAGGUGUCCUUGCUGACACGGUGACAGAAAUUCAGCAUCUCACCUGGGCAGUGGAGAGAAGGUGGCUCUUCUCCAUGUGCUCAGGUCUCUGGGGGUAAGGUUGGGGCUGGGUGCAAGUCUAGACCCUCUUGACUUUCUGCUAAUGCUUCUGUGGUGCAGCAUGUUCUACAUAUAAAACACGUGUUCACUUCGAAAAUGCGUCCAUUGGUGUGGAAAUCUGCUCACGCUGUAAUCCAACACAGACACUGGACAGCAGAUUGGGUUGGAUUUUGGAAAAAAGCUAGUUGCUGUUCAUAUACACAAUGGAAACAGAGGUCUCUUGGAAACAGGAGCAUUUAUCUGGGUCCUUAAACAGAAGCUGUGGGUCACUAAUAGGAAAUGGGGUGCUGUGGGCAGUGCCUGGAGAGUAAGGAGAGCAAGGUAAAGACAUCCAGACAAUUACAGUUUUACAUUGGCAUCAUGUAGAAUGGAAAACCCAACAGUCUGAAAGGCUACAACACUGAUUCUGUAGCACAUUCACAGAAUCACAGAAUGUUAGGGAUUGGAAGGGACCUCAAAGGAUCAUCUAGUCCAAUCCCCAUGACAGAGCAGGAACACCUAGAUGAUGUUACACAGGAAGGAGUGCAGGCAGGUUUUUAAUGUCUCUAGAGAAGGAGUUUCUUCUCAUGCAUAAGUGGAACCUCCUGUGUUCCAGUUUUUAUCCAUUACCCCUCAUCCUAUCAUUGGUUGUCACUGAGAAGAGCCUGGCUCCAUCCUCGUGACACUCACCCUUUAUAUAUUCCUAAAUAUUAAUGAGGUCACCCAUCAGUCUCCUCUUCUCCAGGCUAAAGAGAGCCAGUUCCCUCAGCCUUUCCUCAUUAGAGAGAUGCUCCACUCCCUUAAUCAUCUUCGUGGCUCUGCGCUGGACUCUCUCCAGCAGUUCCCUGUCCUUCUUGAACUGAGAGGCCCAGAACUGGACACUAUUCCAGAUGCGGUCUCACCAGGGCAGAGUAGAGGGGGAGGAGAACAUCUGUCAACCUACUAACCACCUCCCUUCUUAUACACCCCAGGAUACCAUUGGCCUUCCUGGCCACAAGGGCACAGUGCUCACUCAUGGUCAUCCUGCUGUCCACCAGGACACCCAGGUCUCUUUCCCCUACACUGCUCUCUAACAAGUCAUUCUCCAACUUAUACUGGAACAUGGUGUUGUUCGUGCCCAGAUGCAAGACUCUACACUUGCCCUUGUUAUAUUUCAUUAAAUUUUUCCCCGCCCAACUCUCCAGCCUGUCCAGGUCUCACUGGAUGGCAGCACAGCCUUCUGUCAUGUCAGCCACUCCUCCCAGCUUGGUGUCAUCAGCCAACUUGCUGACAGGGCACUCUAUUCCCUCAUCCAAGUCGUUGAUGAAUAUAUUGAAUAAUCCUGUUCCCAUUACUGACCCUUGAGGGACUCCCCUAGAUACAGGCCUCCAACUAGACUCUGCCCCAUUGACCACGACUCUCCGGCUUCUUUCCUUCAGCCGGUUCAACCUGAUCAUCCAGACCACACUUCCUCAGUUUAGCUGUGAGGAUGCUGUGGGAGACUGUGUCAAAUGCUUUACUGAAGUCAAGGUAGACCACAUCCACUGCUCUGACAACAUCUGGCCACGUCAUUAUGUCCUCAUAAAAGGCUGGUCAAGCACAACUUCCCCUUGGUGAAGCCAUGUUGACUGCCCCUAAUGACCCUCUUAUCCUUGAUAUGCAUUGAGAUAGCACCGAGGAUAAGUUGUUCCAUCACUUUCCAAGGGAUGGAGGUGAGGCUGACCGGUCUAUACUUACCCAGGUCCUCCUUCUUGCCCUUUUUGAAGACUGGAGUGACAUUUGCUUUCCUCCAGUCCUCAGGCACCUCUGCCAUUUACCACGACUUAGCAAAGAUGAUGGGGAGUGGCUUAGCAAUAACUUCAGCCACCACCCUCAGCACCCGCAGGUGCAUCCCAUCUGGACCCAUGGAUUUAUGGAUUUCCAGAUUGCCUAAUUGCUCCAUAACCCAGUCCUCAUCAACCAAGGCAGACUCCUCAAUUGUCUUGACUUCCUUUGGGGCCUCAGUGGUAGGGGGCUCCUCAGGACAGCAUCCGGUAGUGUAGACAGAGACAAAGAAAGCAUUCGGUAACUCUGCCUUCUGUCACCAGUGCACCCACCUUGUUCAUCUGUGGGCCUGCAUUGCCUCUGGUGCUAGUUUUAUCUGCCAUGUAUUUCCAAAAGUUCUUUCUGUUGUUCUUGACUCCUCUCGCCAGGUUUAGUUCUAAGGAAGCCUUAGCUUUCCUAGUUGCCUCCCUACAUCCUCUGACAGCAGCCUUGUAUUCUUCCCAAGUGGCCAGCUCCUCCUUCCAUGAUCUAUAAACUCUCCUCUUCCACUUGCGCUUACUCAGGAGUUCCCUGUUUAACCACACAGGUCUCCUGGCUCCCUUCCUUGACUUCCUAUGUGUCGGGAUGCUCUGUUCUUGAGCUUGGUAAAAGCAGUCUCUGAAUGCUAGCCAACUAUCUUGGGCCCCUUUUCCUUCAAGCAGCCUUGCCCAUGGGAUUUCCCCCAGCAAUUGUUUGAAAAGGUCAAAGUUUGCCCUGCUAAAGUCCAGGGUUCCCAUUCUGCUUGGUAUUCUGCUCCUGCCACAUGAGGUCCUGAACUCCAUCAUUUCAUGGUCGCUGCAAUCACGACAGCCCUCAACCUUUACUGCUUCAACCAGACCCUCCUUGUUAGUGAGGAUGAGAUCCAGCAGUGUACCUCUCCUAAUCGGCCCCUCCACCAUUUGCAUCAGGAAGUUAUAAUCAAUGCACUGGAGGAACCUCCUGGACUGUGGCUGGCUGGCUGAGUAGUCCUUCCAGCAAACAUCAGGGUAGUUAAAAUCCCCCACAACAACCAGGGCCUGUGACUGUGAGGCUGCUCUCAGGCUGCCUGUAGAAGGCCUCAUCAACUUCCUCACCCUGAUCUGGUGGCCUGUAAUAGACACCCACAACAGUAUUACCCCUGCCAGCCUGCCCCUUAAUUCUCACCCAUAGACUCUCAACUCACUCAACUCAAUACAUUGUAGUUGCUCUGUCAGGUAAAGAGCAACUCCACCACCUGGCCUGGCUGGCCUGUCUUUCCUGAAAAGGGCAUAGCCAUCCAUGACCACAUUCCAGUCCUUUGAGCUGUCCCACCAUGUCUUUGUAACUGCCACCAGAUCAUAAUCUCCUGAACAAACACAGGUUUCUAACUCCUCCUGCUUAUUCCCCAUGCUGUGUGCAUUGGUGUCCAGGUAUUUCAGGGAGUGAGCUGAGUACACUGAUUUCACCCUAGGGGGAUGGGAAGCCUCCCGGUCUUCAUCAAUACUAGAGUGCUGCCCCACUGGUGCAAGCCCAGCUUACAACCCCAUCUGCCUUCAAAUCUAGUUUAAAGCUCUCCAAAUGACUCCUGCUAAUUCCUGUCCUAGCAUCCUUUAGCCCCUUCAAGAUAAUCCUUUCCCAUGUAUUACUGUCUGGGCUGGUGUCUUAUAAAACCAGGCAUUAUCAAAGAAUCCAAAGCCCUGUCCGUAGCACCAGUUUUGUAGCCAAUCAUAUAUGGACUGAAUUUUUCUAUUCCAUCCCACAUCAUCACCCGAAAUUGGAAGGAGGGAAGAGAAAAUAACUUGCACCCCAGACUCUUUCACCAUCCAUCCCAAUGCCUUAAAAUCUUUCUUCAUUCCCCUCAAACUACGGGACGCAGCUUCCUCCCCACCUGUCUGGAAGAUCAGCAGUGGGUAGUAGUCUGUUGGGUACACCAGACUGGGGAGUGCCCUGGUGAUGUCCCUGAUCCGGGCUUCAGGUAGACUACACACUUCCUACGAUAAGGGUCAACUCUGCAUAUUUGGCCCUUUGCCCCUCUCUGUAGGGAAUUGCCUACUACAAUUACCCUUCUUUCUUUCUUAUCGGAGGCAGUCUUGAGGUGUGGAGUCAACUGCCUCUUCCUAUGUGACCUUGUAGGCAGGCCUUGCACCACAUCAUCACGUACCUCUUCUUCAAGAUCCAGGGCCUCAAACCUAUUAAAGAGGGGAACCUGGGGAAGCAAAGCAGGUAGGGAGGGGGGUUGCCCAUGGUGCCAAACUGGAACUUGCUUCCAACCCUCAUAUUUUUGGUCCCCUACCUCUGCCCGACAGGACAGGGGGUCCGUCACCUUUUGGGGGGUGUCUCCCUGGGACCUUUCUGACUGGAAUGGUAGGGAGUUACUCCACCAGUUGAUCUCCUUUUCAUACUCCCUGAGGGACAUCAGUGUCUCAACCUCCUCAAGUUUCACGACCACGCGGAGCAGAUCUUACACCUGCUCACACCUCACUCAGGUGGAAUGCUGGCUGCCCUCCCCUGGCAGCAGCAGGCUCUGGCACUCCCUGCAGCCAGAAAACUGAACAGCCAUGGUUCGGGGCAGGGCCUCCGUCUGGGUUGCCACAGUCUUUUUGUGACAAGCUGUCUUUCUGGAGGAGACCAUGGUUAGCAGCAGUCUGGGACACUGGCAAUAGGUGAGAGGGUGCAUCAAGCAAAAAGUUACAACCUCUGCGCCCUGCUGCAUGAGCUGCCACACUCGCUUUCGCAGCACAAUGUGGGUGGUACUCACUCGCUUCACAAGCUGGUUGCCCCUCCCAGCGCAGGGUGGGCAGAUGCAUCACUGCCCUCUCGGAAGCUUUUUCAAGGUGAGGGGCGGGGGUGUGAUCAACUACUUUAUGCUGAUGAUAUCCUACCGUUAAUUAAACACUCGCAUGCUUCCCCUCCUGCUUAUAAUGAAUAUUGCUCUCUGAGUACAAAGUUAUCAUUGCACAAAAUUAAUGACCCUGAGACUGCAGUGAUGCAGCUUUCUGGAGUUUGCCCUUCAGCCCUGCUCACCUCAUGGAAUCUUAAGUGGACACUCAAAAUAUAAUACAAAUACUUAGGGACUGAUAGUAACAAAGCCCCAGACAAUGUAAUAAAAAAUAAUUUAAAUCCAAUUAUCAAUUAUAGGAAAGAAUUUGAAGAGGUAGCUAGAGCUAAAUAAAAGCAAACAUGCGUGAUUCAGUAGGCCAGAUUCUGCCUUCAUUUGCAGUCCCAUCAGGUUGUUAAAGUAGAAAAGAGAACAAUCAUGUAAGUCAGCACCCUCGGAGUCAUAGUCAUAAAUGAUCUCAUGACAGUAUUUCCUACUGGCAGCAACAGUUGUGCAUGUUUUGAGCUUACUUUGAACAUGAGUGUACAUGAAGAGCUGUAAAUAUGAGAAGUUAUUACAAUUAUAACAAUUAUAUUCCCAACCCACACAUUAAAGAAACAGACAUACAGAUAGAAAUGCUUUACUGACUACAGAUACUGAGCUGUUUUUUUAAGUGUUCAUGGUGGAUCACACAGGUGCCACACUCAGCACUACAGAAUUUGCCAAAACCUAAACUGUACUGCCAAGUUCAUGUUUACCCAUAGCCCAGGCUUCUGAUGCUCUAAACCAGCAAGUUUCCUUACAAGCCAGCAUAGAACUUCCUGAAUAGCUACAAUAAAUACCAUAGGUUUCAGGUGACAGAAAUCUCAGGAUGUGAGGAUGAAUUAAAGAUGCCAUAGGAGACAUUUGAAAAGUACUUAGAGCUCUCAGGAUGAGAAAUGUUAAUAUUCUCUCUAAAUAUAAUAUAAUUGGUCCAGUUUUGUGCACCAAAAACAUGUGGAUUUUUAUGGGUUUUUUACUUCCAAAAGGGAUCAUUUUUGAAUGGAAAUGGCUGUAGUUUAGGUAAGCUUGUCCUGCCUCACACUGUAAACUAGUAUUACUGUUAAGCAAAGGUUGCAUUUCAGCAGUUGCUUGAAUAGAAAUACCUUUCUGAAAAGCUUGUGAAAUCCUUUGUGAUUAAAGGAAUUAUAUACAUGUAAA